GAAAGAUGAAAAGAACUUUGAAAAGAGAGUUAAACAGUACGUGAAAUUGUUGAAAGGGAAACGAUUGAAGCCAGUCGUACCUUCGGGUAAUCAGCCUUUCGGGUGCGAUUCUGUGGAGUUUGAGGAGCUUAACACCUUCAUGCUUUGCAUAUUCAUGCUCUUGGGUGUACUUGCUCGUAUGGUUGGUUAACAUCAAUUUUGGUGGUCAUAAAAUGACUGGAGGAAUGUAGCUUCGAUCUCGUAUUGAAGUGUUAUA
This 256-nucleotide ribosomal RNA is filed under the name uncultured Rhizophagus. RNAcentral's name for it is "partial large subunit ribosomal RNA". It matches the Rfam family "Eukaryotic large subunit ribosomal RNA", at positions 359 to 630 of the family's 3401-position model. Lineage: Eukaryota; Fungi; Glomeromycota; Glomeromycetes; Glomerales; Glomeraceae. The record is from RNAcentral.